UUUUUUUUUUUUUUUUUUAUAAUGGAGGGUUGGGUUGUUGGGGGUUGCAACUUGCAAGAAUCCCACAAAAUUCAGGAAUAAGAAAUAUAAAGAACAAAGUUACAUGAUAAUUCAUCAAUGAAGUAACUAUGAAAACAUUUAUAGGCCUCAUAAAUACAAAUCUUGGUGGCAAGGAAAAAUCCAAGCAAGUACUAGCAAUGCAAUAUGAAGGUAAUAAAUAGCAUUUAACGUAAAUAAAUGGCAGACACAUUUCAGUGAAUUCCUGGAUAUAAUUUGCAGCAGAGAAGCAAAAGGUUGAAAAUAGAGCUCGUGAACCCUUGUUUGUCAGCAACUGCUGAAGGACUGAAUGCUAAAAAAAAGAAGGAAAGAGAAAAAAUAAACAUCAGAAUCCCUUUUUCUUUCAGUUUCUGUUUCAGGUUCCAACAAUAAGAAGAAAAGGGCUAGAAAGUUUCACACCAUCUAUGUACAAAGAUGAGGCAAAAUCUGGGAGCACUAAAUAAAAAUUAAUUAAAUUAAUGUUAUGCAAACCUGGGAAGUUUAAAUAUUACAAAAC
RNAcentral lists this unclassified non-coding RNA (553 nucleotides) under Hevea brasiliensis (rubber tree). Lineage: Eukaryota; Viridiplantae; Streptophyta; Magnoliopsida; Malpighiales; Euphorbiaceae. The record is from RNAcentral.